UAAUUUCUAUUCAGCCGCAAAGAUAUUCUUUCUCUUCUCCUUCCUAACCUCUUAAUCGAUGGUCACCUCUUCUCCUUCCUAACCUCUGAAUCUCUUCUCCUUACUAACCUCUGAAUCGAUGGUCACCUCUGAAUCUUCUUUUCCACCUAUCUUAUCUCGAUUUCUCUAUACUAAAACGGAUCUGCGGAGAUUUAUCGAUGCUCACCUCUGAAUCGCAUUUGGCAUUUUAGAGCACACGGUGUACCGUUCAAGACGAAUGAGAGAGAAAUUAAAUGAGAUAAACGUGAAGCUUCAAACCAAGACAAAAUUCAGAAGUUUAAUUCUCUUUGAAUUUAUUUUCAGCUGAAAUGCACACAUUGUGUUAAUUACAUGUAAACCCAGUUUUAAUAUUAUCAAAUAUCAUAUUCUUUUAAUACAAAUUUUGUAUAAUUGCUUC
Camelina sativa (false flax) is the source of this 436-nucleotide long non-coding RNA. RefSeq lists it as uncharacterized. Lineage: Eukaryota; Viridiplantae; Streptophyta; Magnoliopsida; Brassicales; Brassicaceae. The record is from RefSeq and is a predicted model, not a curated record.